GUUUUUUGAGAGGAGGUUCCUGGAGGUAGGAGUUUAGCUUUAGUUACUCAGUCAAGGGAAACAAUCACAUACCCAGCAAUUUUUGGGGAGCCAGUGGGCCCGGAAGAGGAGCCAUUUAUAAAUAGCUGGUCAUCGGGGUUGGUGAGAGGCUCGGAGGAAAUGUUUGGAAAGUGUGGCUGUAGGUGAUCCAGGAUGUCAGUGCAAGAAUGAGUAGGAGGGGAAGAGGAUACGGGGAGUAAGGAUGCUGGGUUGAGAGGAGCACUUUUGGCAAGACUUGAAUUCAGGAUUUUUGAUAAAGAGGGCAUGGAGUAAUUGAAUCCGGGAAGGAGGAAGGGAGCUUAAUGCUUGGGAGGAAAGGAGAUUUUGUAGAUUAUGAGGACUGUGGACGGUGGUAUUUUGGCUGAAUGUUAAGGAGCUGCUGUCCACAAACUAAGUAAAGGAAGUAUUUAGAAGGCGUUGGUCUGUUAGGUUUGGAAAGGGUAUAAGAAAGGUUUGAACAGUGUUUACACAGAAGUGUGCAGGGUCUUGACAGGUAGAAAUUUCAGGUAAGAGCAUGGCUGGGUUUAGACGAGAGCUGGUUAGCACGGUGAUUUGGGGAGUUUUUAUGAAUAGAGCAUACAGUUGGAGAAGCUGUGAGGGGGAGAUGAAACUUAGUACACUGUGGUGAGUUAGCAUGUUUUUGAUGUUAUGGGUUGAAUAAACUGUUAGGUUGGCAUGGAGAGAUGGUUUUAGGCUUUUAAGGUGAGGACAGCAGCUGCUGCCAAUGCUUGGAGACAGGCAGGCCGUUUGAGAACUGUGGCUUUAAGCUGUUUAGAGAGGUAGGCAACAACCUGGAGGAUGGGUCCUUUAGACUGGGUUAGAACACCCAGUGUAACUUUAUGCCAUCCGUUGGUAUAGAGGGAGAAAGGUUUGGUGAGGUCUGGGAGAGUGAGGAUGGGGCUGAGGUGAGAGAUUUUUGGAGGAGACAGAAAGGCUGGGUAAUAGGCUAUGCAGAGUUUAAAGGCUCAUGGAGAGGGCCUUUAGUAUCUUGGUAUAACAGUUUGGCAAGUAGAGCAAAGGAGGGAAACUAGAGCCUAAAAUAUCCUGCUAGUCCUAGAAAAGAGAGAAUUUCUUGUUUAGUUUGUGGAGGUGGGAGGGACUGGAGGAGGGAUAUGCGGUGGGUUGUGAGCCUUCAGGUUGGCACGGUAAGGGCUAGGCCUAGGUAGGUGACUGAGGGGGUGUAUAUUUGUGUUUUUUUAGGGGAGACCUAAUACCUCUGUUCUGCUAAGAAGUUUGAAAGAGAGAGAUAGUCUGGGCGUUGCAGUUUUUUUGAGAGGGGCUACACAGGAGCAGAUUAUUAACACAUUGAGGGAGAAUGGAUGCUUUUAGGGAUAAGGUACAGAGGUCGUGAGCAAGGGCCUGCCUAAAAAGAUGGGAGCUGUCUCUGAAGCCUUGAGGUAGUACCCACCAGGACUCAUGUGAUUAUACUGAACUGACCCAGAUAACCCAGGAUAAUUCACAUCUCAAGACCCUUAAACUUGAUGACGUCUGCAAAGUCCCUUUUGCCAUAAGGUUAUAUUGGCAUAUGGUCCAGGAAUUAGUGCAGAGCCACAAUCUCAGAAAGAAAAUGAGAGUGGAUAAUGAAGACAGAUCAUCUGGGUGUAAACCUGAGGAUAUUCCAGAAUAUAGAGGUUAGAGAGAUAAGAAAGAAACUAGCAAGGAAACUAAGGAGCAGCCUCUAAGUAGAAGGAAAAGAAUGGUGAGUUGUAAUUGGAGGUGAAGACAGUUUCAAGGGAGGGUAUGUUAAUUGCUGCUGACACAUCAAGGAAGAUGAGGACUGAGCAUUGACCAUUGGAUUUAGCAACAUGGAGUUUUCUGCUGACCUGGACCUGAGCAGUUUUAAUGGAGUGGUGGGGGCAAUGCAUGACAGAAGAGAAUUCAAGACAGAAGGGACUUUUCCAAAAAAAAAAGGUAUACAAAUGGUUAUUGUGCAACGUGGAAAGAUGUUCACCAAUAUUAGUCAUUUAGGAAAUGAAAAUCAAAAGCACAAUGAGUUACCAGUUCACACUCACUCAGAAGGCAAUAAUCAAAGAAAUGGACAAUAGCAAGGGUUGGGAAGGAUAUGGAGAUAUUCUCCCACAUUGCUGGUGGAAUGUAAAAAUGGUGAAGGUGAAGGUGGAAAAACGGAAAUGAAGUAUUGAGAGGGAGAUGGAAUAUAAGAAGCUUUCUGACAGAUAACCCAAUGGAACAAACUGACUGACUGGGCAUCUGAAAUGAGUAAGAAGGAGUCAAAAAUGAGCAAAAUUAUGCUUCUCUGUGGAUGCAAAUCAUAUCUCCAUUACUUACACCCAGGAGAACUUGUAUGAAGUAGUUAACUUCUCUGGAUUUUAGCUUUUUCAUGUGUACAAUGGGGGGUUUAUGCCUCAUAGAGUUGUAGAAACUGCAAAUGAGAGACUUAUGAAAAGCCUACUGAAUGACCUUAUGAAUAAUAAUAUCAUCAGUGGAAGGUGAUUUGAGGAUGUGAUGCUGUUAUCCCUGACAUGGGCAGGAGGGAACUUGGACAAAGACCAAGGAAGAAAAUAUCUCUUCUCUGAAUGUCUUGUCUGCAUUUGAGUGCAAUGUCCUUUAUUCCGUGUCUUCCACCCAAUCAGGGCCCUACUGCCACUUAAGGGGUAAUUUCUCUUUCAAUCAUUAGUUGUUCCAGCACCAAGAAGCUUAGCCUCAGUUGAGGCACCUGAGUCAGGAGGCCAGGAUCCUUGGGAGAUUGACAACAGGAGGAUAAUCCCAUCAGAAUACUCCAGGAUUCCAACAGUAUCUUAGUCUAUUUAGCUACUAUAAUAAAAUACCUUAGAUGUAUAAA
Molecule: long non-coding RNA, 2839 nt
Filed under: Homo sapiens (human)
Lineage: Eukaryota; Metazoa; Chordata; Mammalia; Primates; Hominidae
Description: long independently transcribed non-coding RNA 2772, transcript variant 2 (LINC02772)
Source: RNAcentral